UCACAACCCAUCUGGUUGGAAACGUCCUGCAGUGCCGCCCGAGCCGCAGGAACCGGAGCCAAUUACAAGUUUAUAUAAUAGAGUCAGUCUCCCCGGGCCUCCCCUCUCCGCCCCACCCCUGCCGGCUUUGGGGAUGGGGGAGGAAACGCUUUCCGUGAAAUACAGGCUGGAUCUAGGACGGAGGAUGCCUUUUCUGGAUUGACAACUAGGGGCCAGUCCUGAGUGUGAGAAACUCCUGGGGUCCUGUUUUGGGAUCCGGACACCUCGGGCGCCGCGCAGGCCUCCUUGUGCCUCGGGAGCGGCCCCGCCUACGGAACGGGACCUGGAAGGGAGGUGUCCGGGUCGAGCGUUCGCGCUGCUCCCCGCCGCACGGUGUGAGCUCGCCGGGUUUAUGUAACGCCUGCCCUUCGCGGAGGACCGUGUCAUGUCCGAAUCGCGGAGGACGGAGGAGGCGGGGGCCUGGGCCGCGACGCCCGCCCACGUGACCGUCAGAUGACUGGGGUCUAAGUUUGCACGAGCUCCUUUACCGUAACGCUGAAGGCUCCUCAUCAACAUCGGCUCUUAGUCAUCCCCGAGUGACAUUUGAUAUGAGCAACAGCUCAGGACGGGGAAAUGGCAACGCGGAUGCUGAUGGAGACGAGGAACGGCUGCUGCGACCGCCUCUGAUUUGGGCUGGAACGGGAGUUUAUGCGGAGUCAAGGAAACCCACCGCGAAGGGUGCCAGGGAAGACCAGGGCACUUUUCUAGACAAAGAAUCUUAGAUUCUUUGGGGCUAGAUGCAGAGAGUCCGGGAGAAACUGUUCACCGGGUGCCAGGCAGGCGGCUGACCACGCAAGCCACGCUUCAGAUUUGUGGGUUGGUUUUAGAAGUCACAUGAGGUCUGCCUGGACGCCCCUCCCGAUCACGUCAAUUAUCUGUCACAACUUCUCUGUGCGCCCCAGGGACCAGCCCCAUGCCCCCAGCGGGGGAGUUGGUUACAGCUGCAGAAUCCCGGCCCCACCCCGCCUCCAGAGCACGAGCCUGCGCUAGAAGGAUAUCACCAGGGGAUGGGGGGGAAUGCGAGGGGGGCGGGGAGGUGGUCACGGAUGCAGAGGCUGUCCUGGCUGCUGAGGCAAAAAGCCCGUCCCAAGCCCUGCAUGGGCUCCUACUGCACUUCAGGAUUUGGGGGAAUGCAGAAUCGUGGUCUUUGAGUUUUCAUUAAUUCAAUAAAGAUUUCUCAAAAGCCUAAAUUCUAGACCCAAGACAGUGGGAAUUAAACAGGGCUGAAUAUGACGCUAUUGGCUAUACCAGGACCACGCCUGAGCAUUGCAUGCACGCUCCAGCUAUGCAUAACUUAUUUAUUUUAAAAGAAGGAAGGAAGAGAGGGAGGGAAACAAGGUGUUUCUUAAGAGUAGAGGAGGGGAGAGGCAACUUGUUGCUUUCACUGGCAACAGUUAACUCCAUAAGCAAUUUCCUCACUUAAAAGAAAAACAAAUGAAGUAGAGUGGUAGGCUUUUGAAAGGAGGAGCAGAGAGCUCCGGUGAGUGGAAACCUAGCUUUUAUUCACCUUAGG
RNAcentral lists this long non-coding RNA (1552 nucleotides) under Homo sapiens (human). RNAcentral's name for it is "long non-coding RNA NONHSAT235712". The record is from RNAcentral. Lineage: Eukaryota; Metazoa; Chordata; Mammalia; Primates; Hominidae.